UACGAAGGGGGCUAGCGUUGCUCGGAAUGACUGGGCGUAAAGGGCGCGUAGGCGGCCUGGUUAGUUAGAUGUGAAAUUCCUGGGCUUAACCUGGGGACUGCAUUUAAUACAGCCAAGCUUGAGUGUGGAAGAGGGUCGUGGAAUUCCCAGUGUAGAGGUGAAAUUCGUAGAUAUUGGGAAGAACACCGGUGGCGAAGGCGACUUACUGGUCCGAUACUGACGCUGAGGUACGAAAGCGUGGGGAGCAAACAGG
RNAcentral lists this ribosomal RNA (253 nucleotides) under uncultured bacterium. RNAcentral describes it as "partial 16S ribosomal RNA". It matches the Rfam family "Bacterial small subunit ribosomal RNA", at positions 524 to 776 of the family's 1533-position model. The record is from RNAcentral.